CCAGACUCCUACGGGAGGCAGCAGUGGGGAAUAUUGGGCAAUGGGCGCAAGCCUGACCCAGCAACGCCGCGUGAAGGAAGAAGGCUUUCGGGUUGUAAACUUCUUUUGUCAGGGACGAAGCAAGUGACGGUACCUGACGAAUAAGCCACGGCUAACUACGUGCCAGCAGCCGCGGUAAUACGUAGGUGGCAAGCGUUAUCCGGAUUUAUUGGGUGUAAAGGGCGUGUAGGCGGGAAUGCAAGUCAGAUGUGAAAUUCCAGGGCUAAACCCUGGACCUGCAUUGGAAACUGUAGACCUUGAGUGUUGGAGAGGAAGGCGGAAUCCCGUGUGUAGCGGGGAA
RNAcentral lists this ribosomal RNA (340 nucleotides) under uncultured bacterium. RNAcentral describes it as "partial 16S ribosomal RNA". It matches the Rfam family "Bacterial small subunit ribosomal RNA", at positions 331 to 685 of the family's 1533-position model. The record is from RNAcentral.